UACGUAGGGAGCAAGCGUUGUCCGGAAUCAUUGGGCGUAAAGCGCGCGUAGGCGGCCCCGUAAGUCCGCUGUGAAAGUCAAAGGCUCAACCUUUGAAAGCCGGUGGAAACUGUGGGGCUAGAGUCCGGAAGAGGCGAGUGGAAUUCCUGGUGUAGCGGUGGAAUGCGCAGAUAUCAGGAGGAACACCAAUAGCGAAGGCAGCUCGCUGGGACGGUACUGACGCUAAGGCGCGAAAGCGUGGGGAGCGAACAGG
RNAcentral lists this ribosomal RNA (253 nucleotides) under uncultured bacterium. Its description in RNAcentral is "partial 16S ribosomal RNA". It matches the Rfam family "Bacterial small subunit ribosomal RNA", at positions 524 to 776 of the family's 1533-position model. The record is from RNAcentral.